AAAAUACUUGUCGUUACUUUAAUGUUAUUUUUCCCUCUUAGAAAUGCAGUUUUUAGAUGCUGAAGUGUAAAUAAUUUUAAAGCUAGAGUAAAUUAUUGUUUGGCAUAAGAUUUAUCAGUUGGAAUAUAAUUAUCAAGUAAUUUAGGCAUAAGUUUCCUGUACUUUUUUGGUAUUGUCUGUUUCAUAAGUUUUAUAUAUAAAUUUCUCAAAGUAAAAUAUGGUUGAUGUAUUUUUGUAUAUCGCCUAACUUACUUUUUUUCUAGGUACAUAACUUAGUGGCAAUUGAGCUGGCUUAUAUCAACACAAAACAUCCAGACUUUGCUGAUGCUUGUGGGCUAAUGAACAAUAAUAUAGAGGAACAAAGGAGAAACAGGCUAGCCAGAGAAUUACCCUCAGCUGUAUCACGAGACAAGGUAAAAAAUGUUUUUAAUGCGUAUUCCCAAUACCUAAAGAUAGAUUGAUGAGCUCAGAAUAUUAUUCAGUUCUAGGAGUAAUUUUUUCUUCUUUUCCUCCCUUUAACACUCCAUUGGAACUAAUUGAGUAAAGGCAUACAAGUU
RNAcentral lists this small RNA (557 nucleotides) under Pongo abelii (Sumatran orangutan). RNAcentral's name for it is "retained intron". The record is from RNAcentral. Lineage: Eukaryota; Metazoa; Chordata; Mammalia; Primates; Hominidae.